AUUGAACGCUGGCGGCAGGCCUAACACAUGCAAGUCGAGCGGAGCGGCGGACGGGUGAGUAAUGCCUAGGAAUCUGCCUGGUAGUGGGGGAUAACGUCCGGCAACGGGCGCUAAUACCGCAUACUAUCAGAUGAGCCUAGGUCGGAUUAGCUAGUUGGUGGGGUAAAGGCCUACCAAGGCGACGAUCCGUAACUGGUCGGAGAGGAUGAUCAGUCACACUGGAACAGAGACACGGUCCAGACUCCGACGGGAGGCAGCAGGGGGGAAUAGUGGACAAUGGUCGAAAGCCUGAUCCAGCCAUGCCGCGUGUGUGAAGAAGGUCUUCGGAUUGUAAAGCACUCGAAGUUGGGAGGCGUUACCAACAGAAUAGGCACCGGCUAAAAUCGUGCCAGCAGCCGCGGUAAUUC
This 407-nucleotide ribosomal RNA is filed under the name uncultured bacterium. Its description in RNAcentral is "partial 16S ribosomal RNA". It matches the Rfam family "Bacterial small subunit ribosomal RNA", at positions 30 to 526 of the family's 1533-position model. The record is from RNAcentral.